UCUCUGGAGAUUUGCCAUUUUGAUACCGACUAAAGAUCAGUGGCAUGUAUAUAUACUUUGAGAAAAUUAUGUUGAGAUGACCCCUCAUUGCAACCACAACAGACCUAAUUAUAAUCUUUUUACUUUUAUAAGAUAAAUCUUUUUGAAGUAUUAAUUCUAAUCAAAACAAUGGGAUUAUCUCACCCAGGGGUAAGCAUAACCCCCUUCACUAAUAUCCUUCACUGUAUACUUAAAACAAAUCAUGUAUCAAUAGUAACUUCUCAAUAGUCUUCUCUCCCAUUUAGUUGCAUUCGAUGAAACUACAGUGGAAUAGGGCCAUUCCAUUCCCUGAACAGGGUAGAUGGGAUUUGACAGGAUGUUUAUAUAAGCUGUAGGCGAAAUAGUGGUGUAGGCGAUAUGAGGUCAAACCCAUUAACUAACAUA
Molecule: long non-coding RNA, 423 nt
Organism: Haliotis rubra (blacklip abalone)
Lineage: Eukaryota; Metazoa; Mollusca; Gastropoda; Lepetellida; Haliotidae
Exons: 3
Source: RefSeq, a predicted model, not a curated record